UACAGAGACCUCAAGCGUUAUCCGGAAUCAUUGGGCGUAAAGCGUACCGAUAGGUGGUUAUACAAGUCAGAAGUGAAAUCUCAAAGCUUAACUUUGAGACUGUCUUUUGAAACUGUAUAACUAGAGGGGCGAAGAGGAAGCUGGAACGAACGGUGUAGUAGUGAAAUGCGUUGAUAUCGUUCGGAACACCAAUAGCGUAGGCAAGCUUCUGGGCGCCUCCUGACACUGCUAGGACGAAAGCGUGGGUAGCGAAUGGG
This 257-nucleotide ribosomal RNA is filed under the name uncultured bacterium. RNAcentral's name for it is "partial 16S ribosomal RNA". It matches the Rfam family "Bacterial small subunit ribosomal RNA", at positions 524 to 776 of the family's 1533-position model. The record is from RNAcentral.